Molecule: small nucleolar RNA, 107 nt
Organism: Elaeis guineensis (African oil palm)
Lineage: Eukaryota; Viridiplantae; Streptophyta; Magnoliopsida; Arecales; Arecaceae
Source: RefSeq, a predicted model, not a curated record
AUAGCAUGGUGUGGGCAUUUAUGAAUGAGAUCCUUUAACUUUUUCCAUGUCUCAUAAAAAAAUUCACCAAUUAAUUGGAAAAAACUACUUAUUGCUUUUCUAAUUUG